UCCUAAGGUAGCGAAAUUCCUUGUCGGGUAAGUUCCGACCUGCACGAAUGGCGUAAUGAUGGCCAGGCUGUCUCCACCCGAGACUCAGUGAAAUUGAACUCGCUGUGAAGAUGCAGUGUACCCGCGGCAAGACGGAAAGACCCCGUGAACCUUUACUAUAGCUUGACACUGAACAUUGAGCCUUGAUGUGUAGGAUAGGUGGGAGGCUUUGAAGUGUGGACGCCAGUCUGCAUGGAGCCGACCUUGAAAUACCACCCUUUAAUGUUUGAUGUUCUAACGUUGGCCCGUAAUCCGGGUUGCGGACAGUGUCUGGUGGGUAGUUUGACUGGGGCGGUCUCCUCCUAAAGAGUAACGGAGGAGCACGAAGGUUGGCUAAUCCUGGUCGGACAUCAGGAGGUUAGUGCAAUGGCAUAAGCCAGCUUGACUGCGAGCGUGACGGCGCGAGCAGGUGCGAAAGCAGGUCAUAGUGAUCCGGUGGUUCUGAAUGGAAGGGCCAUCGCUCAACGGAUAAAAGGUACUCCGGGGAUAACAGGCUGAUACCGCCCAAGAGUUCAUAUCGACGGCGGUGUUUGGCACCUCGAUGUCGGCUCAUCACAUCCUGGGGCUGAAGUAGGUCCCAAGGGUAUGGCUGUUCGCCAUUUAAAGUGGUACGCGAGCUGGGUUUAGAACGUCGUGAGACAGUUCGGUCCCUAUCUGCCGUGGGCGCUGGAGAACUGAGGGGGGCUGCUCCUAGUACGAGAGGACCGGAGUGGACGCAUCACUGGUGUUCGGGUUGUCAUGCCAAUGGCACUGCCCGGUAGCUAAAUGCGGAAGAGAUAAGUGCUGAAAGCAUCUAAGCACGAAACUUGCCCCGAGAUGAGUUCUCCCUGACUCCUUGAGGGUCCUGAAGGAACGUUGAAGACGACGACGUUGAUAGGCCGGGUGUGUAAGCGCAGCGAUGCGUUGAGCUAACCGGUACUAAUGAACCGUGAGGCUUAACCUU
This 982-nucleotide ribosomal RNA is filed under the name human gut metagenome. RNAcentral's name for it is "bacterial LSU rRNA". It matches the Rfam family "Bacterial large subunit ribosomal RNA", at positions 1949 to 2925 of the family's 2925-position model. The record is from RNAcentral.